RNAcentral lists this ribosomal RNA (240 nucleotides) under Haliea sp. Its description in RNAcentral is "partial 23S ribosomal RNA". It matches the Rfam family "Bacterial large subunit ribosomal RNA", at positions 2699 to 2925 of the family's 2925-position model. Lineage: Bacteria; Pseudomonadati; Pseudomonadota; Gammaproteobacteria; Cellvibrionales; Halieaceae. The record is from RNAcentral.
GGACGAACCUCUGGUGUUCGGGUUGUCACGCCAGUGGCAUUGCCCGGUAGCUACGUUCGGACAGGAUAACCGCUGAAAGCAUCUAAGCGGGAAGCCCCUCCCAAGAUAAGUUCUCCCUGGGGACUUGAUCCCCCUGAAGGGCCGUUGAAGACUACAACGUUGAUAGGCUGGGUGUGGAAGCGCGGUAACGCGUUGAGCUAACCAGUACUAAUUGCCCGUGAGGCUUGACCAUAUAAUCCA